UACGUAGGGGGCUAGCGUUGUCCGGAUUUAUUGGGCGUAAAGAGCGUGUAGGCGGCCAGGUAGGUCUGCUGUGAAAACUCGAGGCUCAACCUCGAGCUGUCGGCGGAAACCAUCUGGCUAGAGUCCGGAAGAGGAGAGUGGAAUUCCUGGUGUAGCGGUGAAAUGCGCAGAUAUCAGGAAGAACACCCGUGGCGAAGGCGGCUCGCUGGAACGUAACUGACGCUGAGACGCGAAAGCGUGGGGAGCAAACAGG
This 253-nucleotide ribosomal RNA is filed under the name uncultured bacterium. RNAcentral describes it as "partial 16S ribosomal RNA". It matches the Rfam family "Bacterial small subunit ribosomal RNA", at positions 524 to 776 of the family's 1533-position model. The record is from RNAcentral.